Molecule: long non-coding RNA, 465 nt
Organism: Thamnophis elegans (Western terrestrial garter snake)
Lineage: Eukaryota; Metazoa; Chordata; Lepidosauria; Squamata; Natricidae
Exons: 2
Source: RefSeq, a predicted model, not a curated record
AUCCACAAUGGGGGGCAAGGUGUUGACGACGGGCCCCGCGUGCAGGUGAAUCACAAAGAAGACCUGUCGUGUGAAGGCAAAGGAAGAGGCUACAACAAAAAGUAAGCAUGAAACACACAUUUAGCCCACUCAUCUGAACUGAGUUCUAGUCCCAGCUUAAGCAUGGAAGCCAGCUGGGCGGGCCAGCCGCUUCUCUCAGUCCAACUACCUCACAGGGUUGUUGGGGAGAAAACAGAAGGAAGGUGUAUUAAGUAUGUUCACUGCCUUGAGUUAUUUAUAAAAAUAAUAAAGGUGGGAUUGAAAAGACUCAUCUCCUCCUUUCUCUCAGCAAAUAAUUUAAGAAUGGCAGCCGAGGCAGGCAGGCAGGCAAGGCUCUCUGCUGUGUUGCUCCAGCACAAAACUCUUUCCAGCACAAUCAAUCCAUGAUGGGCUUGUGCAACCAAAUCGAGGGGACCGUGGAACCCU